UUAAGCGACUAAGCGUACACGGUGGAUGCCCUGGCAGUCAGAGGCGAUGAAGGACGUGCUAAUCUGCGAUAAGCGUCGGUAAGGUGAUAUGAACCGUUAUAACCGGCGAUUUCCGAAUGGGGAAACCCAGUGUGAUUCGUCACACUAUCAUUAACUGAAUCCAUAGGUUAAUGAGGCGAACCGGGGGAACUGAAACAUCUAAGUACCCCGAGGAAAAGAAAUCAACCGAGAUUCCCCCAGUAGCGGCGAGCGAACGGGGAGGAGCCCAGAGCCUGAAUCAGUGUGUGUGUUAGUGGAAGCGUCUGGAAAGGCGCGCGAUACAGGGUGACAGCCCCGUACACAAAAAUGCACAUACUGUGAGCUCGAUGAGUAGGGCGGGACACGUGGUAUCCUGUCUGAAUAUGGGGGGACCAUCCUCCAAGGCUAAAUACUCCUGACUGACCGAUAGUGAACCAGUACCGUGAGGGAAAGGCGAAAAGAACCCCGGCGAGGGGAGUGAAAAAGAACCUGAAACCGUGUACGUACAAGCAGUGGGAGCACAGAGCAAUCUGUGUGACUGCGUACCUUUUGUAUAAUGGGUCAGCGACUUAUAUUCUGUAGCAAGGUUAACCGAAUAGGGGAGCCGAAGGGAAACCGAGUCUUAACCGGGCGUUAAGUUGCAGGGUAUAGACCCGAAACCCGGUGAUCUAGCCAUGGGCAGGUUGAAGGUUGGGUAACACUAACUGGAGGACCGAACCGACUAAUGUUGAAAAAUUAGCGGAUGACUUGUGGCUGGGGGUGAAAGGCCAAUCAAACCGGGAGAUAGCUGGUUCUCCCCCGAAAGCUAUUUAGGUAGCGCCUCGUGAAUUCAUCUCCGGGGGUAGAGCACUGUUUCGGCAAGGGGGUCAUCCCGACUUACCAACCCGAUGCAAACUGCGAAUACCGGAGAAUGUUAUCACGGGAGACACACGGCGGGUGCUAACGUCCGUCGUGAAGAGGGAAACAACCCAGACCGCCAGCUAAGGUCCCAAAGUCAUGGUUAAGUGGGAAACGAUGUGGGAAGGCCCAGACAGCCAGGAUGUUGGCUUAGAAGCAGCCAUCAUUUAAAGAAAGCGUAAUAGCUCACUGGUCGAGUCGGCCUGCGCGGAAGAUGUAACGGGGCUAAACCAUGCACCGAAGCUGCGGCAGCGACACUGUGUGUUGUUGGGUAGGGGAGCGUUCUGUAAGCCUGUGAAGGUGUGCUGUGAGGCAUGCUGGAGGUAUCAGAAGUGCGAAUGCUGACAUAAGUAACGAUAAAGCGGGUGAAAAGCCCGCUCGCCGGAAGACCAAGGGUUCCUGUCCAACGUUAAUCGGGGCAGGGUGAGUCGACCCCUAAGGCGAGGCCGAAAGGCGUAGUCGAUGGGAAACAGGUUAAUAUUCCUGUACUUGGUGUUACUGCGAAGGGGGGACGGAGAAGGCUAUGUUGGCCGGGCGACGGUUGUCCCGGUUUAAGCGUGUAGGCUGGUUUUCCAGGCAAAUCCGGAAAAUCAAGGCUGAGGCGUGAUGACGAGGCACUACGGUGCUGAAGCAACAAAUGCCCUGCUUCCAGGAAAAGCCUCUAAGCAUCAGGUAACAUCAAAUCGUACCCCAAACCGACACAGGUGGUCAGGUAGAGAAUACCAAGGCGCUUGAGAGAACUCGGGUGAAGGAACUAGGCAAAAUGGUGCCGUAACUUCGGGAGAAGGCACGCUGAUAUGUAGGUGAAGUCCCUCGCGGAUGGAGCUGAAAUCAGUCGAAGAUACCAGCUGGCUGCAACUGUUUAUUAAAAACACAGCACUGUGCAAACACGAAAGUGGACGUAUACGGUGUGACGCCUGCCCGGUGCCGGAAGGUUAAUUGAUGGGGUCAGCGCAAGCGAAGCUCUUGAUCGAAGCCCCGGUAAACGGCGGCCGUAACUAUAACGGUCCUAAGGUAGCGAAAUUCCUUGUCGGGUAAGUUCCGACCUGCACGAAUGGCGUAAUGAUGGCCAGGCUGUCUCCACCCGAGACUCAGUGAAAUUGAACUCGCUGUGAAGAUGCAGUGUACCCGCGGCAAGACGGAAAGACCCCGUGAACCUUUACUAUAGCUUGACACUGAACAUUGAGCCUUGAUGUGUAGGAUAGGUGGGAGGCUUUGAAGUGUGGACGCCAGUCUGCAUGGAGCCGACCUUGAAAUACCACCCUUUAAUGUUUGAUGUUCUAACGUGGACCCGUGAUCCGGGUUGCGGACAGUGUCUGGUGGGUAGUUUGACUGGGGCGGUCUCCUCCUAAAGAGUAACGGAGGAGCACGAAGGUUGGCUAAUCCUGGUCGGACAUCAGGAGGUUAGUGCAAUGGCAUAAGCCAGCUUGACUGCGAGCGUGACGGCGCGAGCAGGUGCGAAAGCAGGUCAUAGUGAUCCGGUGGUUCUGAAUGGAAGGGCCAUCGCUCAACGGAUAAAAGGUACUCCGGGGAUAACAGGCUGAUACCGCCCAAGAGUUCAUAUCGACGGCGGUGUUUGGCACCUCGAUGUCGGCUCAUCACAUCCUGGGGCUGAAGUAGGUCCCAAGGGUAUGGCUGUUCGCCAUUUAAAGUGGUACGCGAGCUGGGUUUAGAACGUCGUGAGACAGUUCGGUCCCUAUCUGCCGUGGGCGCUGGAGAACUGAGGGGGGCUGCUCCUAGUACGAGAGGACCGGAGUGGACGCAUCACUGGUGUUCGGGUUGUCAUGCCAAUGGCACUGCCCGGUAGCUAAAUGCGGAAGAGAUAAGUGCUGAAAGCAUCUAAGCACGAAACUUGCCCCGAGAUGAGUUCUCCCUGACCCUUUAAGGGUCCUGAAGGAACGUUGAAGACGACGACGUUGAUAGGCCGGGUGUGUAAGCGCAGCGAUGCGUUGAGCUAACCGGUACUAAUGAACCGUGAGGCUUAACCU
This 2903-nucleotide ribosomal RNA is filed under the name Escherichia coli. RNAcentral describes it as "23S ribosomal RNA". It matches the Rfam family "Bacterial large subunit ribosomal RNA". Lineage: Bacteria; Pseudomonadati; Pseudomonadota; Gammaproteobacteria; Enterobacterales; Enterobacteriaceae. The record is from RNAcentral.